CAGUCGCCGCGGGAAUACAGAGGGUGCAAGCGUUAAUCGGAAUUACUGGGCGUAAAGCGCGCGUAGGUGGUUUGUUAAGUUGGAUGUGAAAUCCCCGGGCUCAACCUGGGAACUGCAUCCAAAACUGGCAAGCUAGAGUAUGGUAGAGGGUGGUGGAAUUUCCUGUGUAGCGGUGAAAUGCGUAGAUAUAGGAAGGAACACCAGUGGCGAAGGCGACCACCUGGACUGAUACUGACACUGAGGUGCGAAAGCGUGGGGAGCAAACAGGAUUAGAUACCCCCGAAGUCCCUGUCUCUUAUAC
Molecule: ribosomal RNA, 301 nt
Filed under: uncultured bacterium
Lineage: Bacteria
Description: partial 16S ribosomal RNA
Rfam family: Bacterial small subunit ribosomal RNA
Source: RNAcentral